RNAcentral lists this ribosomal RNA (371 nucleotides) under uncultured organism. RNAcentral's name for it is "partial 16S ribosomal RNA". It matches the Rfam family "Bacterial small subunit ribosomal RNA", at positions 527 to 896 of the family's 1533-position model. The record is from RNAcentral.
GUAGGUGGCAAGCGUUGUCCGAAAUUAUUGGGCGUAAAGCGCGCGCAGGCGGUUCUUUAAGUCUGAUGUGAAAGCCCACGGCUCAACCGUGGAGGGUCAUUGGAAACUGGAGAACUUGAGUACAGAAGAGGAAAGCGGAAUUCCACGUGUAGCGGUGAAAUGCGUAGAGAUGUGGAGGAACACCAGUGGCGAAGGCGGCUUUCUGGUCUGUAACUGACGCUGAGGCGCGAAAGCGUGGGGGAGCAAACAGGAUUAGAUACCCUGGUAGUCCACGCCGUAAACGAUGAGUGCUAAGUGUUAGGGGGUUUCCGCCCCUUAGUGCUGCAGCUAACGCAUUAAGCACUCCGCCUGGGAGUACGGCCGCAAGGCUG